RNAcentral lists this ribosomal RNA (773 nucleotides) under uncultured bacterium. RNAcentral's name for it is "bacterial SSU rRNA". It matches the Rfam family "Bacterial small subunit ribosomal RNA", at positions 8 to 796 of the family's 1533-position model. The record is from RNAcentral.
AGAGUUUGAUCAUGGCUCAGGACGAACGCUGGCGGCGUGCUUAACACAUGCAAGUCGAACGGAAAGGCCCGCUUGCGGGUACUCGAGUGGCGAACGGGUGAGUAACACGUGGGCAACCUGCCCUCAGCUCUGGGAUAACUCCGGGAAACCGGUGCUAAUACUGGAUAUCAACUUCUGCUCGCAUGGGUGGUUGUUGAAAGUUUUUCGGCUGGGGAUGGGCCCGCGGCCUAUCAGCUUGUUGGUGGGGUAAUGGCCUACCAAGGCGACGACGGGUAGCCGGCCUGAGAGGGCGACCGGCCACACUGGGACUGAGACACGGCCCAGACUCCUACGGGAGGCAGCAGUGGGGAAUAUUGCGCAAUGGGCGGAAGCCUGACGCAGCGACGCCGCGUGAGGGAUGACGGCCUUCGGGUUGUAAACCUCUUUCAGCUCUGACGAAGCGAGAGUGACGGUAGGAGCAGAAGAAGCACCGGCCAACUACGUGCCAGCAGCCGCGGUAAUACGUAGGGUGCAAGCGUUGUCCGGAAUUAUUGGGCGUAAAGAGCUCGUAGGCGGUCUGUCGCGUCGAAUGUGAAAACCCGGGGCUCAACCCCGGGCCUGCAUUCGAUACGGGCAGACUAGAGUUCGGUAGGGGAGUCUGGAAUUCCUGGUGUAGCGGUGAAAUGCGUAGAUAUCUGAAGGAACAUCAGUGGCGAAAGCGACUUCCUGGACCAAUACUGACGCUCAUGUGCGAAAGCGUGGGGAGCAAACAGGAUUAGAUACCCUAGUAGUCC